Molecule: non-coding RNA, 200 nt
Filed under: Planctomycetaceae bacterium
Lineage: Bacteria; Pseudomonadati; Planctomycetota; Planctomycetia; Planctomycetales; Planctomycetaceae
Description: 6S RNA
Rfam family: 6S / SsrS RNA
About the family: E. coli 6S RNA was the first non coding RNA to be sequenced, but its function was unknown until recently. It consists of 184 nucleotides that fold into an extended hairpin structure with a large single-stranded internal bulge.
Source: RNAcentral
UUACCUCUGCGGUGUCCGACAACGGGCUUAGAUUUUGUUAGCCCUACAAGCAUUGUUCCGGGGAUUCUGAUUUCGGCCGCGUGUACAUCCGGGAUGUCGCCUUCGGGCGGCUGAAUGGCUCACACUCACCGGAGAAUUGACUCCCCACCUGGACUGAAGGGUCCAUACAAAGCAGCUCGAACGGCACCUGCGGAGGUCUU